GGUCCUGUGACUUUUCCAGACACUACCCAGUGUCUGCAGGGGUCUCCAGGACCCGAGAUCUAGACGAGAGCAACCCAGACCUGCACUGCAUGAUCUGUGGAUGUCCGAAGCCCUCCCUUGAGGGUCUGCACGUCCCAGGCUGCUCCGCUGGCCCCCUUGCUUCUGUCCUCUGCGUGCUGUCCACACGCCCAGCACAGUCCCAAGGACAAGAAGAGAAGAUUUGACUCUAGGACAGAGACCAAUGACCAGUAUCCUGACUCUCCAGGGGGCAGCUGGAAACUGAGGCAGAGGGAAGCCUUCAGACUCAGAUGCAGAACCUGGGGCUCAAGGAGGCCAUGUGACAGGCCUACUCUCUGCCCCUGCAGCACAUGGAGUUUGCCUGCAACCAACAGAAACACUCAUAAAGACCCAAGAAGGAGCAGAGCAAGAGGCCUUGCAUGGACCAGGAUGUGGUCAGUUUGGGGCCAGGAGGUGGUAGGAGCUCAGAGACGAGCUCACUGCUGAGG
Sciurus carolinensis (gray squirrel) is the source of this 506-nucleotide long non-coding RNA. RefSeq lists it as uncharacterized. The record is from RefSeq and is a predicted model, not a curated record. The transcript has 3 exons. NCBI's taxonomy places the organism in Eukaryota, Metazoa, Chordata, Mammalia, Rodentia, Sciuridae.